GUGGGGAAUUUUCCGCAAUGGGCGAAAGCCUGACGGAGCAAGACCGCGUGAGGGAUGAAGGCCUAAUGGUUGUAAACCUCUUUUCUCUAGGAAGAUGAUGACGGUACUAGAGGAAUCAGCCUCGGCUAACUCCGUGCCAGCAGCCGCGGUAAUACGGAGGAGGCAAGCGUUAUCCGGAAUUAUUGGGCGUAAAGCGUCCGUAGGUGGUUGAACAAGUCAGUUGUUAAAGAGUGGGGCUUAACCCUAUAGAGGCGAUUGAAACUGUUUAACUAGAGUUAGGUAGGGGUUACGGGAAUUCCCAGUGUAGCGGUGAAAUGCGUAGAUAUUGGGAAGAACACCGGUGGCGAAAGCGCGUGACUGGGCCUUAACUGACACUGAGGGA
Molecule: ribosomal RNA, 382 nt
Filed under: Leptolyngbya sp. W5
Lineage: Bacteria; Bacillati; Cyanobacteriota; Cyanophyceae; Leptolyngbyales; Leptolyngbyaceae
Description: bacterial SSU rRNA
Rfam family: Bacterial small subunit ribosomal RNA
Source: RNAcentral